AGUAGUUAAGUGUUCGGCUGCUAACCAAAAGGUCGGUGGUUCGAAUCCACCAACCACUU
RNAcentral lists this transfer RNA (59 nucleotides) under Loxodonta africana (African savanna elephant). It matches the Rfam family "tRNA", at positions 14 to 71 of the family's 71-position model. Rfam says of the family: Transfer RNA (tRNA) molecules are approximately 80 nucleotides in length. Their secondary structure includes four short double-helical elements and three loops (D, anti-codon, and T loops). Lineage: Eukaryota; Metazoa; Chordata; Mammalia; Proboscidea; Elephantidae. The record is from Rfam by way of RNAcentral.